AGCUUGCUUUUGAGGCGUCGACCGGCGCACGGGUGAGUAACGCGUAUCCACCUGCCCACCACUUGGGGAUAGCCUUGCGAAAGUAAGACUAAUACCCAAUGAUAAGACAUCUGUAAAGAUUUAUCGGUGAUGGAUGGGGAUGCGUCUGAUUAGCUUGUUGGCGGGGUAACGGCCCACCAAGGCAACGAUCAGUAGGGGUUCUGAGAGGAAGGUCCCCCACAUUGGAACUGAGACACGGUCCAAACUCCUACGGGAGGCAGCAGUGAGGAAUAUUGGUCAAUGGGCGAGAGCCUGAACCAGCCAAGUAGCGUGCAGGAUGACGGCCUAUGGGUUGUAAACUGCUUUUAUAAGGGAAUAAGUGAGUCUCGUGAGACUUUUUGCAUGUACCUUAUGAAUAAGGACCGGCUAAUUCCGUGCCAGCAGCCGCGGUAAUACGGAAGGUCCGGGCGUUAUC
Molecule: ribosomal RNA, 454 nt
Filed under: uncultured bacterium
Lineage: Bacteria
Description: bacterial SSU rRNA
Rfam family: Bacterial small subunit ribosomal RNA
Source: RNAcentral